Molecule: unclassified non-coding RNA, 420 nt
Filed under: soil metagenome
Description: partial contains 5.8S ribosomal RNA, internal transcribed spacer 2, and large subunit ribosomal RNA
Rfam family: 5.8S ribosomal RNA (bases 3-119)
Source: RNAcentral
GAGAAGAACGCAGCGAAAUGCGAUACGUAAUGUGAAUUGCAGAAUUCAGUGAAUCAUCGAAUCUUUGAACGCAUAUUGCGCUCUUUGGUAUUCCGAAGAGCAUGCUUGUUUGAGUAUCAGUAAACACCUCAACCUCUUCUUGAUUUUUCAAAAGGAGGGUGGACUUGAGCUAUCCCAACAACCUUUACCGGUCGGCGGGCGGCUUGAAAUGCAGGUGCAGCUGGACUUUUAUCUGAGCUAAAAGCAUAUCUAUUUAGUCCUCGUCAAACAGGAUUAUUACUUUUGCUGCAGCUAACAUAAAGGAUAAUUGUCCUCUUUGCUGACUGAUGCAGGAUUUUACGACACUUUAUGUGUUGUUCAACUCGAUCUCAAAUCAAGUAAGACUACCCGCUGAACUUAAGCAUAUCAAUAAGCGGAGGA